Molecule: long non-coding RNA, 195 nt
Organism: Nothoprocta perdicaria
Lineage: Eukaryota; Metazoa; Chordata; Aves; Tinamiformes; Tinamidae
Exons: 2
Source: RefSeq, a predicted model, not a curated record
GGCGCUGCGCGAGGACAUCGACGCGCUGCAGGGCGAGCUGGACACGCUGGGCAUCCUGGGCGUGGAGCUGGUGUCCUCCUGYGGAGACCCCGACAAGCCCGACGUCACCCGGAGCCUGGAUGAGCUCUACUCCUCGUGGCACGGGCUGAGCAAGGUGUGGACCGAGCGGCACGGGCGCCUCGAGGAGCAGCUCCA